This 492-nucleotide ribosomal RNA is filed under the name uncultured bacterium. RNAcentral's name for it is "partial 16S ribosomal RNA". It matches the Rfam family "Bacterial small subunit ribosomal RNA", at positions 29 to 507 of the family's 1533-position model. The record is from RNAcentral.
AGUGAACGCUGGCGGUAGGCCUAACACAUGCAAGUCGAACGGCAGCACAGUAAGAGCUUGCUCUUACGGGUGGCGAGUGGCGGACGGGUGAGGAAUACAUCGGAAUCUACUUUUUCGUGGGGGAUAACGUAGGGAAACUUACGCUAAUACCGCAUACGACCUACGGGUGAAAGCAGGGGAUCUUCGGACCUUGCGCGCUUCAAUGAGCAGCUGUCGGAUUAGCUAGUUGGCGGGGUAAAGGCCCACCAAGGCGACGAUCCGUAGCUGGUCUGAGAGGAGGAUCAGCAACACGGGAACUGAGACACGGUCCAGACUCCUAGGGGAGGAAGCAGUGGGGAUUAUUGGACAAUGGGCGCAAGCCUGCUCCAGAAAUACCGCGUGGGUAAAGAAGGCUUUCGGGUUGUAAAGCCUGUUUGUUGGGAAAGAAAAGCAGCAGGUUAAUACCCCGCUGUUCUGACGGUACCCAACGAAUAAGCACCGGCUAACUUCGUG